RNAcentral lists this ribosomal RNA (463 nucleotides) under uncultured bacterium. RNAcentral describes it as "partial 16S ribosomal RNA". The stretch from base 53 to 463 matches the Rfam family "Bacterial small subunit ribosomal RNA", at positions 39 to 507 of the family's 1533-position model. The record is from RNAcentral.
GGGGGGGGGGGGGGGGGGGGGGGGGGGGGGGGGGGGGGGGGGGGGGGGGGGCGUGGGGGGGCGGGCGAGGGCGGGCGGGUGGGCAACGCGUGAGGAGCUUGCCCUGCAGGGGGGGAUGACAGAGGGAAACGGCGGAGAAGACCUGGUAACGUCGGGCGGACUCAUGUCCAGCCUGAUGAAAAGUGAUGCUGCAGGAGAGCCUUGCGUCCUAUUAGCUUGUUGGUGGGGUAACGGCCCACCAAGGCGAUGAUAGGUAGCCGGCCUGAGAGGGUGGACGGCCACAAGGGGACUGAGAUACGGCCCUUACUCCUACGGGAGGCAGCAGUGGGGAAUAUUGGACAAUGGGGGCAACCCUGAUCCAGCAAUUCUGUGUGCACGAUGAAGGUUUUCGGAUUGUAAAGUGCUUUCAGCAGGGAAGAAAAAAAUGACGGUACCUGCAGAAGAAGCGACGGCUAAAUACGUG